AGGAAUUUGCCCCCCAAACAGUGUGCCCUGAUAUCCAACCCGAAGAAGUGAAACUGCUGUGGGUCUGGAGAGGUGAAGCCCCGUGGCCAGCUUCUGUCGCUGCCAUCUGCCAUUGCUUUUUGUUCCCUUGCUUUUGGUUUUGCAAGCAUGGCCUCUGUCUCUGUCUGAUCUGC
This 173-nucleotide long non-coding RNA is filed under the name Colobus angolensis palliatus. RNAcentral describes it as "NPPA antisense RNA 1 conserved region 1 (ENSCANG00000038593.1)". It matches the Rfam family "NPPA antisense RNA 1 conserved region 1". Lineage: Eukaryota; Metazoa; Chordata; Mammalia; Primates; Cercopithecidae. The record is from RNAcentral.